UACGUAGGGGGCGAGCGUUGUCCGGAUUUAUUGGGCGUAAAGAGCUCGUAGGCGGUUUGGCAAGUCGGGUGUGAAAACUCCGGGCUCAACUCGGAGACGCCACUCGAUACUGCCAUGACUCGAGUCCGGUAGGGGAGUGCGGAAUUCCUGGUGUAGCGGUGAAAUGCGCAGAUAUCAGGAGGAACACCGGUGGCGAAGGCGGCACUCUGGGCCGGUACUGACGCUGAGGAGCGAAAGCGUGGGGAGCGAACGGG
RNAcentral lists this ribosomal RNA (254 nucleotides) under uncultured bacterium. RNAcentral's name for it is "partial 16S ribosomal RNA". It matches the Rfam family "Bacterial small subunit ribosomal RNA", at positions 524 to 776 of the family's 1533-position model. The record is from RNAcentral.